UUCUCAUUUCCUUUUCACUUCUUCAUUUCCUCUUAUCGUUCAUCUUAUUCCUAAUAUAUAUUCUUUUCAUAUGUACUUCUUGACUCACAAAUCACUCAUCUACACGGUACAGAUAUCUAUAUGUAUGGAAUGAAUUCAUGGGUUGCUCAAAAGUGAUCUUGCAAUUGCAGUGAAUAUAUGUUCGCGGAUUGAUGUGAAUGUUGAGGUGCAGCUUUAGAAUCAUAUCUGUCAUGGUUUUAUUACUUUUGACAGUGUUUCUUGUUGUGCUACCGCUGCUUUUGCCACCACUGCCGCCGCCUCCUUUGAUUCUUCUAUUUGUUCCGGUCUUGAUCAUGGCGGUGCUUGUAUUUCUCGCCAUGUCUCGCUUGCCACAAGUUCCAGAUCAUCACCAUAUGGCAGCUGUUGUUAGUUAUGUUUGAUACACAUAUGAACCAGCUUCUCUUUUUUAUUUUUCUGAGGAGAAAAGGCAAUAUUUUAUCCCCACACUACUCAUCUCAUGAUGUUAAUGAAAUUUGAACAUCCGACCUCCGCAACAUCGGCUAGUCCAGAGGCCACAACUCACCAGUGAAGCAGCGUUACUUCAUGAUAUUUCGAUCUUUCGUAAGUCCUCAGAAAUUACGGUUCAAGUGAAACGAUGAUGAUGUUAUCGUCGCCGUUCGAGCUGUAGCACAACGCCUCACCCCAAUGACAUUUGGAGGAGGAGAAGAGCUUCGGAAUUCCAGCCUAGAAUGGUCUUUGCAAGCCACACUGCGGCUGUUGUAAAAGCAUCACCGGAUACGACUCCGUCAUAUCUCUGCCAUGGGCUCCACUACUAGAGCAGCUGCGAUGUCUAACUCCACCACCGUAUCACCUUACACCACCUUGCUUGACAGUUGUGUCACUUUCCUGGUACCAGCCAAUUUCCCCAGUACAUCACUAGCAGUUUACUCCUCGCCUGCGCCUUCUUCUUGAUCAAGAAUUGAUCGCAACCUGCUGGAGCACAAGCGUUGCAGCAACCCCUUCACCUUGUUGUAUUGCAAAUCCACCUCCACCACCAACACUUCAGCAAAUUUAUACUCUCUUGUUAUCGAGCAACCAACCCAUGGAAGUCCUAGCAAUGAAGCGGUGGGAUCUCCUUGUUGAGAAUAUAUACAUCCCUCAUAGGAAAAAUUGGACUUUGCCUAUGAGUUUAUAAGGGUUUAGACUAUUCCAUCAAUUGUCAAUUGGUUUUGGAUGUGAAUCCCCUCAACCUCACCCAAACCAUUGUACUCUACCAAAAAUAACAUCAUUCCACUGCCAUUGUUCAUGAAGCCAAACACGAACCGCUCCUUACCAUGGACUGAGAUCGAGCCGCUGCCAUCAUCUCGGAUUUAUCAUCAUUAGGUUUGCUGGUCACCAGCCGUCUCACGAAAUAGUAGAAGGAACUAGCCAUCGUCGUUGUACCCACCUAUCCAAAGUCCACCACCACAUCUUCAGUCAAUGUUAAGGCCGUCGAUCAUUGAGCCACCACAUCUUGAGUCAUCUCAGAAGAUUGAAAGGUGUUGAGAAGAUCCAGAAAAAAAAAAAAAAGCCCGAGCAGAUGGCUCUAUUUUGUUUUGAGUGGAUGGUUGAAACUCAGAAUUUGAGUUGGGCCAUCGAAAACUGAAUUGAAAAUAAAACUGACCCAAAAAUGAGUAUUUCUAAAUGUACCAAAUAAAUUUCUAAGUAUACCUAGUCAUUUAUGUGAGAUAAUACUUGGCUAACCAUAGUCAAUAACAAGAGGACACGUGUCCAUUUAACAA
This is a long non-coding RNA of Rosa chinensis, 1760 nucleotides long. RefSeq lists it as uncharacterized. The record is from RefSeq and is a predicted model, not a curated record. NCBI's taxonomy places the organism in Eukaryota, Viridiplantae, Streptophyta, Magnoliopsida, Rosales, Rosaceae. The transcript has 2 exons.